This 310-nucleotide small RNA is filed under the name Histoplasma capsulatum. Its description in RNAcentral is "hypothetical RNA". RNAcentral also lists the same sequence under 1 other name. Lineage: Eukaryota; Fungi; Ascomycota; Eurotiomycetes; Onygenales; Ajellomycetaceae. The record is from RNAcentral.
AACAGGCUAGAAGGCAUAGCCGGGAAGGAGAGGACUGUAUUCCUCCUUCACAUUGGCCAUCGGAUUUCCCAAGUUAUGAACCCGUUGUUUAUAAAUACUAUCUAGCAACAUCCCAAGCCAUCGCUGCUUACCACCUCUGAAUAUCAUCAACGGCUCACCGACGCUCUCUAUUGACCAUAAUAUUACGGGUCAUAUACCAAAGGGAAUAGUAAAUAGCGGCGGAAGACUGCCACAGGUCGGGCAGAAUAAGAGCAAGUGAAUGGCUUUUGCAAAUAGCCUUCGCAGUCAAACGCUUGCCAUACGCAGGGAC